GACGAACGCUGGCGGCGUGCUUAACACAUGCAAGUCGAACGGAAAGGCCCUGCUUUUGUGGGGUGCUCGAGUGGCGAACGGGUGAGUAACACGUGAGUAACCUGCCCUUGACUUUGGGAUAACUUCAGGAAACUGGGGCUAAUACCGGAUAGGAGCUCCUGCUGCAUGGUGGGGGUUGGAAAGUUUCGGCGGUUGGGGAUGGACUCGCGGCUUAUCAGCUUGUUGGUGGGGUAGUGGCUUACCAAGGCUUUGACGGGUAGCCGGCCUGAGAGGGUGACCGGCCACAUUGGGACUGAGAUACGGCCCAGAUUCCUACGGGAGGCAGCAGUGGGGAAUAUUGCACGAUGGGCGGAAGCCUGAUGCAGCAACGCCGCGUGCGGGAUGACGGCCUUCGGGUUGUAAACCGCUUUCGCCUGUGACGAAGCGUGAGUGACGGUAAUGGGUAAAGAAGCACCGGCUAACUAUGUG
This 468-nucleotide ribosomal RNA is filed under the name uncultured bacterium. RNAcentral describes it as "partial 16S ribosomal RNA". It matches the Rfam family "Bacterial small subunit ribosomal RNA", at positions 28 to 507 of the family's 1533-position model. The record is from RNAcentral.